CCUACGGGUGGCAGCAGUGAGGAAUAUUGGUCAAUGGACGAGAGUCUGAACCAGCCAAGUAGCGUGAAGGAUGACUGCCCUAUGGGUUGUAAACUUCUUUUAUAUGGGAAUAAAAUGUUCCACGUGUGGGAUUUUGUAUGUACCAUAUCAAUAAGGAUCGGCUAACUCCGUGCCAGCAGCCGCGGUAAUACGGAGGAUCCGAGCGUUAUCCGGAUUUAUUGGGUUUAAAGGGAGCGUAGGUGGAUUGUUAAGUCAGUUGUGAAAGUUUGCGGCUCAACCGUAAAAUUGCAGUGGAAACUGGCAGUCUUGAGUACAGUAGAGGUGGGCGGAAUUCGUGGUGUAGCGGUGAAAUGCUUAGAUAUCACGAAGAACUCCGGUUGCGAAGGCAGUUCACUGGACUGCAACUGACACUGAGGCUCGAAAGUGUGGGUAUCAAACAGGAUUAGAUACCCGUGUAGUC
Molecule: ribosomal RNA, 460 nt
Filed under: uncultured bacterium
Lineage: Bacteria
Description: partial 16S ribosomal RNA
Rfam family: Bacterial small subunit ribosomal RNA
Source: RNAcentral